GAUGAAGAACGCAGUGAAAUGCGAUAAGUAAUGUGAAUUGCAGAAUUCAGUGAAUCAUCGAAUCUUUGAACGCACAUUGCGCCCGCCAGUAUUCUGGCGGGCAUGCCUGUUCGAGCGUCAUUACAACCCUCAAGCUCUGUCUUGCGCUUGGUGUUGGGGAUCGGCCCUGCCCGCCAGCCCGGGCGGGCCGCCCCCGAAAUGAAUCGGCGGUCUCGUCGCAGCCUCCUCUGCGUAGUAAUUCAGUUAUCCUCGCACUUGGAGCGCGGCGCGGCCACUGCCCGUAAAACGCCCAACUUCUCAAGGGUUGACCUCGAAUCAGGUAGGAAUACCCGCUGAACUUAAGCAUAUCAAAAGCGGAGGA
Molecule: unclassified non-coding RNA, 361 nt
Filed under: soil metagenome
Description: partial contains 5.8S ribosomal RNA, internal transcribed spacer 2, and large subunit ribosomal RNA
Rfam family: 5.8S ribosomal RNA (bases 1-120)
Source: RNAcentral